RNAcentral lists this ribosomal RNA (776 nucleotides) under uncultured bacterium. Its description in RNAcentral is "bacterial SSU rRNA". It matches the Rfam family "Bacterial small subunit ribosomal RNA", at positions 28 to 911 of the family's 1533-position model. The record is from RNAcentral.
GAUGAACGCUAGCGACAGGCUUAACACAUGCAAGUCGAGGGACCGGCGCACGGGUGAGUAACGCGUAUGCAACCUGCCCUUCACAGGGGGAUAACCGGGAGAAAUUCCGACUAAUACCGCAUAGUGAAGGAUGGGCACGCGUGAUAUUAGGUAGUUGGCGGGGCAACGGCCCACCGAGCCUACGAUAUCUAGGGGUUCUGAGAGGAAGGUCCCCCACAUUGGUACUGAGACACGGACCAAACUCCUACGGGAGGCAGCAGUGAGGAAUAUUGGUCAAUGGACGAGAGUCUGAACCAGCCAAGUCGCGUGAAGGAGGACGGAUUAUGGUUUGUAAACUUCUUUAGUGCGGGAACGUGUACCGCAAGAAUAAGCAUCGGCUAACUCCGUGCCAGCAGCCGCGGUAAUACGGAGGAUGCGAGCGUUAUCCGGAUUUAUUGGGUUUAAAGGGAGCGCAGGCUGCGAGGCAAGUCAGCGGUCAAAUGUCGGGGCUCAACCCCGGCCUGCCGUUGAAACUGUCCUGCUAGGUUCGAGUGAGGUAUGCGGAAUGCGUUGUGUAGCGGUGGAUGCAUAGAUAUGACGCAGAACUCCGAUUGCGAAGGCAGCAUACCAACUCGCGACUGACGCUGAGGCUCGAAAGCGUGGGUAUCGAACAGGAUUAGAUACCCUGGUAGUCCACGCAGUAAACGAUGAAUACUAACUGUUCGGGAGUGGUAAAGCGAAAGCGUUAAGUAUUCCACCUGGGGAGUACGCCGGCAACGGUCAAACUCAAAGGAAUU